RNAcentral lists this transfer RNA (73 nucleotides) under Boulengerula taitana (Taita Mountains caecilian). RNAcentral describes it as "tRNA-Lys". The record is from RNAcentral. Lineage: Eukaryota; Metazoa; Chordata; Amphibia; Gymnophiona; Herpelidae.
CACUGAGAAGCUAACAAUGGACAGCAAUAGCCUUUUAAGCUAUAAACUGGUGACCACCUAUCACCCUCAGUGA